GCGCCUGCGCUCGUCCUUUCCGGCUGGCUUCUCCCGCCGCCGAUUCUUCGGAUACCGCGGGAUCAGGCUCCUGCCUUCUUUCCUUGGGACCACCCUUCCCUCUUCCUAGCCAGGCACGCACGCAUAAGGAGGGGCGGGCGCAAGACAGAGAUCGAGCACCCCCACCACGCAUGGCUCCGCUUCCACCGUCGACCACCACCACCACCACGUACUACUCCCACCCGAGGGGCCUCCGCCGGAGACAGGACGAGAGGGCUGGAGGAGC
This 265-nucleotide long non-coding RNA is filed under the name Elaeis guineensis (African oil palm). RNAcentral describes it as "long non-coding RNA (EGUI_LNC002171)". Lineage: Eukaryota; Viridiplantae; Streptophyta; Magnoliopsida; Arecales; Arecaceae. The record is from RNAcentral.